AGUGAACGCUGGCGGUAGGCCUAACACAUGCAAGUCGAACGGCAGCACAGUAAGAGCUUGCUCUUACGGGUGGCGAGUGGCGGACGGAUGAGGAAUACAUCGGAAUCUACUUUUUCCUGGGGGAUAACGUAGGGAAACUUACGCUAAUACCGCAUACGACCUACGGGUGAAAGCAGGGGAUCUUCGGACCUUGCGCGAUUGAAUGAGCCGAUGUCGGAUUAGCUAGUUGGCGGGGUAAAGGCCCACCAAGGCGACGAUCCGUAGCUGGUCUGAGAGGAUGAUCAGCCACACUGGAACUGAGACACGGUCCAGACUCCUACGGGAGGCAGCAGUGGGGAAUAUUGGACAAUGGGCGCAAGCCUGAUCCAGCCAUACCGCGUGGGUGAAGAAGGCCUUCGGGUUGUAAAGCCCUUUUGUUGGGAAAGAAAAGCAGCAGGUUAAUACCCCGCUGUUCUGACGGUACCCAAAGAAUAAGCACCGGCUAACUUCGUG
RNAcentral lists this ribosomal RNA (492 nucleotides) under uncultured bacterium. RNAcentral's name for it is "partial 16S ribosomal RNA". It matches the Rfam family "Bacterial small subunit ribosomal RNA", at positions 29 to 507 of the family's 1533-position model. The record is from RNAcentral.